UGCCAGCAGCCGCGGUAAUACGUAGGGGGCAAGCGUUGUCCGGAUUUACUGGGUGUAAAGGGCGCGCAGGCGGCCAGGUAAGUCGAAUGUGAAAGCCCCCGGCUCAACUGGGGAGGGUCGUUCGAUACUGCUUGGCUUGAAGAUAGGAGAGGGAAGUGGAAUUUCAGGUGUAGUGGUGAAAUGCGUAGAUAUCUAUCGGAACGCCAAAGGUGAAGACAGACGACUGGGCCUGAUCUGACGCUGAGGUACGAAAGCGUGGGGAGCGAACGGGAUUAGAUA
RNAcentral lists this ribosomal RNA (279 nucleotides) under uncultured bacterium. Its description in RNAcentral is "partial 16S ribosomal RNA". It matches the Rfam family "Bacterial small subunit ribosomal RNA", at positions 506 to 784 of the family's 1533-position model. The record is from RNAcentral.